GGGUCAGUAGGUUGGUCGUGCCACCGGUACGUACUGGUCUCACUGUUUCCUCCUUCCUGAAGAACCGUAAUGCCAUUAAUUUGGUGUUGCGGGGAAACAGGACUGUUACUUUGAAAAAAUUAGAGUGUUUAAAGCAAGCUAACGCUUGAAUACAUUAGCAUGGAAUAAUGAAAUAGGACGAUCGAUCCUAUUUUGCUGGUUUCUAGGAUUGACGUA
Molecule: ribosomal RNA, 216 nt
Filed under: Glomeromycotina sp.
Lineage: Eukaryota; Fungi; Glomeromycota
Description: partial small subunit ribosomal RNA
Rfam family: Eukaryotic small subunit ribosomal RNA (bases 40-216)
Source: RNAcentral